UAGUACGGCGAGUGAGAGGGAAGAAGCCCAAGAUUGAAAGCUGGCGUCUUCGGCGUCCGCAUUGUAAUCUCAAGAAGUGUUUUCCGCUUCGGACCAUGCCUAAGUCCCUUGGAAAAGGGCAUCAUAGGGGGUGAUAAUCCCGUACAUGGCAUGGAGCGCCCGAAGCUUUGUGAUACGCUUUCUACGAGUCGAGUUGUUUGGGAAUGCAGCUCAAAAUGGGUGGUAAAUGCCAUCUAAGGCUAAAUAUUGGGGAGAGACCGAUAGCGAACAAGUACAGUGAUGGAAAGAUGAAAAGAACUUUGAAAAGAGAGUUAAACAGUACGUGAAAUUGCCAAAAGGGAAGGGUAGGAGGUCAGAGAUGCGUCUUGGGAUUCAGCCUUGCUUUUGCAUGGUGUUUUUCCCAAGUUGCAGGCCAACGUCGGUUUUGGGCACUGGAGAAGGGUAGGAGGAACGUGGCACCUCUCGGGGUGUGUUAUAGCCUCCUACUGGAUACAGCGACCGAGACCGAGGAACGCAGCGUACUCGUAAGAGCGGGCCUUUUGGCACCUUUACGCUUAGGGCGUUGGCAUAAUGGCCCUCUACCACCCGUCU
This 591-nucleotide ribosomal RNA is filed under the name uncultured Pseudozyma. RNAcentral describes it as "LSU rRNA". It matches the Rfam family "Eukaryotic large subunit ribosomal RNA", at positions 81 to 654 of the family's 3401-position model. Lineage: Eukaryota; Fungi; Basidiomycota; Ustilaginomycetes; Ustilaginales; Ustilaginaceae. The record is from RNAcentral.